This 806-nucleotide ribosomal RNA is filed under the name uncultured organism. Its description in RNAcentral is "bacterial SSU rRNA". It matches the Rfam family "Bacterial small subunit ribosomal RNA", at positions 650 to 1469 of the family's 1533-position model. The record is from RNAcentral.
GGAAGAGGGGAGUGGAAUUCCCGGUGUAGCGGUAAAAUGCGCAGAUAUCGGGAGGAACACCAGUGGCGAAGGCGGCUCCCUGGACCGCACCUGACGCUCAGAGGCGAAAGCUAGGGGAGCGAACAGGAUUAGAGACCCUGGUAGUCCUAGCCCUAAACGCUGGAUGCUAGGUGUAGGGCUGAUGAGGCUCUGUGCCGGAGCGAACGCGAUAAGCAUCCCGCCUGGGAACUACGGCCGCAAGGCUAAAACUCAAACGAAUUGACGGGGACCCGCACAAGCAGCGGAGCGUGUGGUUUAAUUCGAUGCUACACGAAGAACCUUACCUGGGUUUGACAUGUUGGUGGUACCGAACCGAAAGGGGAGGGACCCUUCGGGGAGCCAACACAGGUGCUGCAUGGCUGUCGUCAGCUCGUGCCGUGAGGUGUCGGGUUAAGUCCCGUAACGAGCGCAACCCUUGCUCUUAGUUGUACGUGUCUAAGGGGACUGCCGGCGACAAGCCGGAGGAAGGUGGGGAUGACGUCAAGUCAGCAUGGCCUUGAUAUCCAGGGCUACACACACGCUACAAUGGCCGGUACAAAGGGCAGCCAAGCCGCGAGGUGGAGCGAAUCCCAGCAAAGCCGGUCCCAGUUCGGAUUGCAGGCUGCAACCCGCCUGCAUGAAGUUGGAGUUGCUAGUAACCGCGCGUCAGCCAUAGUGCGGUGAAUACGUACCCGGGUCUUGUACACACCGCCCGUCACGUCAUGGGAGUUGGCAACGCCUGACAGCGGUAGCCUAACCGAAAGGAAGGCGCCGACUAAGGCGGGGCU